GGCAGCUUUUUGGCAGAGUGUUCUUUUUGUUGGGUUAAUUUUUACAGGUGGGAGGGGAAUGACAGACCAGCCAGUGCAAAGUAACCAACUUGUUCCUAGUAGCUAUUUGCACUAGUUCUCCAUGCCUCUGCAACCAACUGGUAAUCUCUGAAAUCCUGGGGCUCCAGCAAUAUUGUGAUCUUCAGCCCUCGUGAUCUUCAGCACAGGAAGAGCAAAGCAGCAGUUUUAGAUUUGAAAGAUGCCAGAAAUUGUUUCUGAAUGAGGAAGUUCAACAGUGGGACAAAAGACUCAUCUACGCUGAAUGGUGAUUCCCCAAGGAUUCAAGUCCACCUCUGCAAUGUCUGGUAAUGUACUGGCAAGGAUUAGAGCAACGGUAAGGAUUAGAGCAAUGGCAAAGUAGGAACACGUCAAUUACCUCACUAAUAGUGUUUUAAAUUCUGCAUUGCUCUUACCUGUGAAUGAGGGAGAAGUGCUGUCUCACAAUUAUUUGUAAGAAAUUGAAAAAGUAUAUUCCAUCUGGCCAGACCUGAGAUGUAUCCCCAUAAUGAGUCUUGACCGGGAGCUGUUUGCUGAUGGAAGCAGCUUUGUAGUUAUGGAGGAGCAGAAAGCUCUGGAUGUGCAAUUGUAAGCCUCGAAGAAGAAAAAGAACUAAGAUCCUUGCCAGCUAAUAGGGAUAGAAGCUCUAGUUGAAGCAGUAAGAAGAUACACUGUGGAAAUUAACACGUUAUUUAUUGCCAAAAGUAUUGCCCAGAGGUGCAGGAUUUGUCUUAUAAAUAAUCCUAAAAUUCAUAGGAGACUAUCUUCCUUCCCCUCCUCCACUCCCCCCCACCUGCCAACCACCAAGGAGAGGUAAAAAGGGGUUCUGUACGUGGGGAAUAUCAGCAAGUUGAUUUUUCUCAAUUACUGACAUGUAAUGGGUACAAAAAUUUAUUGGCUUCGGUUGACACUUUUCCAGGGUGGCCUGAAGCAUUCCAGUGCUGAGCCAACAAAACAAGCAAAGUAAUCAAUUUUUUACUAAAAGAUGUAAUUCCAAGAUUGGGCAUUCCAGAAUGUCUCUCAUCAGACAGAGGACCUCAUUUUGCAGCAGAAAUAACCCAAAGAGUUCCUAGUUUUUUGCAAAUAAAAUGGGAUUUACAUAGCACGUGGAAACCUCAGUCAAGUUAUCAAGUAGAGAGAAUUAAUCAAACGUUAUGAAGACAGAUUGGAAAAUUAUGUCCAGAAAGACAUUUGAAAUAGGUAGAAGUUCUCUCUUUGCCAUUGCUGAAAAUUCAAAUAACCCCUAGACUUAGAGAAGGAAAUAGUCCUUUUGAAACCUUGUAUGGAAAGCCAGUUAUUGGAAAUCUGUCUGGAAAAGGUGUUCAGAUGUAUGUGGCUGGUGAUGAAAUACUUACUGAAUGCCACAUGCCUUUGGCAAGAAUUCUUUCUUCCCUCCAUAGGUAUGUAUAAUUAAGAAUUCCAGCACCCCUGGAUGUGCCUGUACAUUGCUUUAAAUCCAGGGACCAAGUGUAUCUUUGAAUCUGACAGUUCUCAAGCAGCAGCUGCCACCCCAGCCAACACCCCAGCAACUUGUGCCCCCCCAGGCCCGCUGUUGGCAGGACAGUACGAGAAGCUGAAAGCCUGAAAUAUCCUUGGCUCUGUACAGCACUGCGCAGCACCAAGGAAAACACUGGUGUGUUCUCAACAUUGUUGUUCUCCUAAAGCCAAUACAAAGCAUCAUACCAGGCACUAUGAGGAGAAUCAAACCUGUCCCAGCUGAAACCAGGACAGAAGACAACAGUUUUUUUUCAAUAGCUGCCCAAGGGAGAUCAGAAAAUAAAGAA
Centrocercus urophasianus (Greater sage-grouse) is the source of this 1820-nucleotide long non-coding RNA. RefSeq lists it as uncharacterized. Lineage: Eukaryota; Metazoa; Chordata; Aves; Galliformes; Phasianidae. The transcript is spliced from 3 exons. The record is from RefSeq and is a predicted model, not a curated record.